RNA transcript from Homo sapiens (human), 3964 nucleotides. It is a transcript of the gene named zinc finger protein 676, with no coding region annotated. The transcript is spliced from 9 exons. Lineage: Eukaryota; Metazoa; Chordata; Mammalia; Primates; Hominidae. The record is from RefSeq and is marked validated.
GGUCCCUGACCACAGAGAUCAUCGUGACAUAUCUCUGAAAGCUCAAAACUAUUUGAAGCGAUUAUCUUGUUAUGCCAGCUCUUUGCCCAUAGGAGAGAAUGUAAUAUUUCUGUGGGCACAGCACCUAGUUGAUGUAAUUGUGCCUGGGCCAUGUCUACAAAAGGAAGAAUCAUUUACCCAUGGGUCCAGCACACAGGUGACUUCACUCUACUGCCUUGAUUCUUGCCCACGAGAAUCAUCGUUACAUAUUUUUGGGCUCUCCUCCUAGAUGAUGUGAGACUUUUUUUCUUCCUGGGUCCUGUCCACAAAAGGAGAUUGUGACAUAUCACUUGACCCAGCACCUAUGUGAUGUGACUCUCAUCUGAUGCCUUGGCUCUUCCCACUGGGCUGGUUGUGACAUACAGCUGGGCACAGCUUCUAGGUUAUGUGACUCUUCUCUUCUUCCUGAGUCCUGCCCACAGGGAGCAUUGUGACAUAUCUCUAAACACUUCACCUAGAUAAUGGGACUCUUUCAUCUGAGCCCUCCCCAAAGAGGCUAUUGUGACAUGUUUGGAUCAAGCACCUAGGAGAUGUUACUGUUCUCUCCUACCUGUUACCUGUUACUGGCAGUGAAUCCGUAUGGGUACAGGUCUGCUGCAACAUUGACCCAGCAAUAGGAUGAGUUGGUGACUCUCAGACCAAGAUUCAGGAUACCUGAAACCUAAGAGACUUUGACUCCACUAAGGACACCCAGCGUGCAGGACAAAUAGAAGCUCUCAUGCAGAGAUAAAGUCCCCAGUUGAGAUUGUAACUCCUGAACAUGUGCAGAAUUGAUAAUCUCAUUUAUGGACCACCCUGCAGCUGUGAUUGUGACAUAUGCCUUUGUCCAGCACUUGAGUGAUUUGACUCUCCUGCCUGGGCUCAGGUCACAGAUAGGAUUGUGACACAUCGCUGAACUCAGGACCUAGGUUUUGCCCACAGGGGACAUUGUGACAUAUCACUGGGCCCAACACCAAGGUUAUGUUACUCUCUUUCCUUGGUCCUGCUCUCAAACAACAUUGUGAAAUACUGCUGAACCCAGCACGAAGAAGAUGUGAUGUGCCUCUUCUCUUCUGCCUGGGCCCUGCCAAUAAAAGGGGAUUGUAAUGAAUCACUGGACCCAGAACCUAGAUGGGUUGGUGACUCUCAGACCAAGAUUCAGCACACCUGUGAGCCUCUGACUCCACUGAGGGAACACAGUUCAUGGGAGGGAUUGAGGAUUUAAUACACAGAUCCAGUUCACCUUUGAGAUGGUGACUCGUGUAAUUAGACACAACAUACAGGACAUGGAUGAAGCUGGAAACCACCAUUCUCAGCAAACUAUCACAAGGACAAAAAACCAAGCACCGCAUGUUCUCACUCAUAGGAGGGAUUGAGACAAUUCUGGAAGCCCAGCACCUAGGUGAUGUGACUUUCAUCUUUUGUUUGGACCCUGUGCACAAAAGGAAGAGUGGCUUAUCACUGGACCUCACACACAGGAGGUAUUGUGACAUAUUCCUGGAGCAAGUACCCAGGUACUGUGACGUAUGGCUGAGACAAACACCUAGGGCACGAGAGCCUCCUGCCUGGGUCCUGCCCACAAGGAACCUUUUGGCUUAUCUCUGCAUCCAUGAACUAGGAGAUGUGACUCUUCUUUUCUGUCUGGGUUCUGCAAAAACAAGUGAUUGUGACAUAUCAUCAAACCCAGCAACUAGACGAUGUGAUUUUUCUUCCCUGCUUGAGCCCUGGAUAUGCUGUGUAUUGUGAUAUAUGGCUGGGUCCAACAUCAAGGAGAGAUUAUGACAUAUCUCUGGAACCAGAACCUUAGUGAUGUGACUCUUGUCUCCUGCUGAAGCCAUGCCCACACAAGGGAAAGUGACUCAUCACUGGACCCAGCACACAGGUGAUGUAAUUCUUCUGCCUUGUUUUUGUACCCAGGAGCCAUUGUAAUCCAUCUCUGGGCCCAUCAUUUAAAUGAUGUGACUAUCCUUUUCUUCCUGAGCCCUAUUCACAGGGAAAAUAGUGACACAUCUGUGGGCUUCUCACCGAAAUGAUGUGACUUUCCUUCCUGGGCUCACCUCUCAAGGGAAUUUUGACAUAUUACUGGACCAAGCACCUAGGUGAUGUGGCUCUGACAAACGAGAAAUUGUGAUGUACCACUGUUCCACACCUAAGAGAUCUGACUCUCUUUUCAUGAGCCCUGCAUUUAUUGUGUAUUGUGACAUAUGGCUUGGUCCAACGCCUAGGUGAUGUGACUCUCUACUUCUUCCUCGGCCAUGCCAAAGAAGAGGAUUGUGACAUAUCACUGGAUCCAGCACUUAGGUGAUGUAAAUCUUUUCUUUUGCUGAGCCAUGCAUAUUUUUGGUAUUGUGACAUGUAGCUGGACCGAACACCUACAGGACUGGAUCAGAGGCUACUUAAUAAGCCCUGCCCAUAGGCGGCCUUGUGACAUAUGUCUGCAUCUAUCACCAAAGUGAUGUGACUCUUUUUCUGCCUGCAUCCUGCACAUAGAGAAGAUUGUGACAUAUCGCUGGGCCCAGUAACCAGGUGAUGUGUCUUUUCUGGCAGGUCUUUUCCCACAGGGAGCAUUGUAAAAUAUCACUGGGCUCGGCCACCAGGUUAUGUGACCCUUCUGCCUGUGCCCUGCUUCCUGGAAAUGUGACAUUCCUCAUACAGCACCCAGGUGAUGUGACUCUUCUGCUCAUUUUCUACUUAUAGUUGGGAUUGUGACAAAUAUCCUGGCCCAACUCAUAGGUGCUAUGAUGAUUCCCGUACCUGGAAUCAGCCAAUAGGGAGAUAGUGUCUCUUGUAUUGUAGCCUAGGGAAACAAGUAAGAUCCUGGGCCUCCUCUUUGUAUGAAUGUCAUAAAGAGUUAUCAAUCUGACUGGGCAGUGUGGCUCAUGCCUGUAAUCCCAGCACUUUGGGAGGCCAAGGUGGGUGAAUCACGAGGUCAGGAGUUGGAGAGCAGCCUGGCCAACAUAGUGAAACUCUGUCUCUACUAAAAAUACAAAAAUUAGCCGGGUGUGGUGACAUGUGCCUGUAAUCCCAGCUACUCAAGAGGCUGAGGUGGGAGAAUCACUUGAACCCGGGAGGCAGAGGUUGCAGUGAGCUGAGACCAUGCCAUUGCACUCCAGCUUGGGUGACAGAGUGAGAUGAGGCUCCCUCUCAAAAAAAAAAAAAAAAAAGAGAAGAAAGAAAGAAUUACCAAUCUUUGGUGUGUUUCAUAAACCAUUUGGGUGGCACAAAGAAUGUCUUCAGAGGGCUUAGCGCACAGGUGAGAUUGUUUCUAAAAUGCAGAAACUGCCAACUGUUAGGACUGUCACCCUUACACAUGGCAAAAGCCAGCUAGUGAGCUCCUGAAUCUCACAGGUGGACACAGUUCAAAGUUGGAAUUGUGACUGUCAUAUAUUAACAUUUGGCCACAAUUAAGGUGGUGACUCAUUAAUAAAUGCAGUACAUAGGUAGGUGAAGACUCUCUGAUCUAGACCCUGUCAACUAGAGAGUGGGGACUCUGUAAUCUGGACCUUGCCAACUAUGCUCAGAAAGGUCUCAGAGCAGACUGUGACUUUUAUGCACACUCUACAAAGCCCUCAGGCGGUGCAGAAAGUGUUCCAACAGAGCCCAGCACACAGGUGAAAACCCCUGCCUGUGCCCUGCCCAUAUGGGCAAUUUUGACAUGUUGCUGAGUCUGAUACCUGGGUGAUGUAACUCUCUGGCCUGGUCCUGCCUACAAGGUUUUCUGUAACAUAUCUAUGCACCAGUCAACUUUGUGUUUUGAUAAUCCUCUUCUACCAAUUUCUGCUCAAAAGAAGGAUUUUGACAAAUAAUUGGGACCAGCACCUAGCUGACAUUAUUCUACUUUUCUUUCAAGGUUUGGUUUUCAGGGGAUGUUGUGACAUGUCACUAGGCUAACAGACAGGUGAUAUUCUUCUGCCUUGGCUCUUCCAAAAUAAAGCAUUUUUACACA